Molecule: long non-coding RNA, 306 nt
Filed under: Hordeum vulgare
Lineage: Eukaryota; Viridiplantae; Streptophyta; Magnoliopsida; Poales; Poaceae
Description: long non-coding RNA (HVUL_LNC009845)
Source: RNAcentral
AAAUAUAUAAUACAUAAUAUGUGCCCAAUAGUUUUACUGAUCCACAACACAUAACAUAUAUGCAAAGUUGCAUAACAAAUUUCAUGAUCCAUAUAUCAAAAUUUCAUAGCAUCCAUACAUCCAAAAUUCCAUAGCAUCCAUACAUAAAUAGAUCCAUAGCCAAUAUAAUACACAACGAUACUUUGCGGGCAUUAGUAAGUAAUAUUUGGCACUAAAACAAAUGCCUUCAUGUCCAUAUCGUAGUCCAAAGAGCAUCUGCGUGGCAACCUACAAGAUGAAAUCAUUAACAUGUCAAAUUUAACACUC